GACGAACGCUGGCGGCGUGCUUAACACAUGCAAGUCGAACGGAAAGGCCCUGCUUUUGUGGGGUGCUCGAGUGGCGAACGGGUGAGUAACACGUGAGUAACCUGCCCUUGACUUUGGGAUAACUUCAGGAAACUGGGGCUAAUACCGGAGAGGAGCUCCUGCAGCAGGGUGGUGGUUGGAAAGUUUCGGCGGUUGUGGAUGUACUGGCGGCUUAUCAGCUUGUUGGUGGGGUAGGUGCUUACGAAGGCUUUGACGGGUAGCCGGCCUGAGAGGGUGAACGGCGACAUUGGGACUACGAUACGGACCAGACUGGUAUGGGAGGCAGAAGUGGGGAAUAUUGCACAACGGGGCGGAGUGUGUUGAAGAAAUCUUGCGAGCGGAAUGCCGGCUUUCGGGUUGUAAACCGCUUUAGCCUGUGACGAAGCGUGAGUGACGGUAAUGGGUAAAGAAGCACCGGCUAACUACGUG
This 468-nucleotide ribosomal RNA is filed under the name uncultured bacterium. Its description in RNAcentral is "partial 16S ribosomal RNA". It matches the Rfam family "Bacterial small subunit ribosomal RNA", at positions 28 to 507 of the family's 1533-position model. The record is from RNAcentral.